UGGCAGCGGGCGCGUGCGCGGACCGGUCCGGUUCCGGCGCGGUCGGGCGUGGUCGGCCGGGCGGUUCGGCCGGUUCGCGGUUUAGCGGGCCGGCCCAGUGGGUCGGCCCGUUCUAUUUUUUUUUUCUUUAGCCUUUUCUUUUUCUGUUUUUCUUAUUUCUUUGAUAUCUUUUGAUUUUGCACUCCAAAUUGGUUCAAAUAAAUUCCAAUUUUUUUUGUAAAAUCAUGUUUUACCAUGAUUCAACUUUUGGGAGUAGUUUCCCCUCAAAAUAAAAUAUAUAAAAAUACAUUUGCCCUAUAAAUGCCUUUAGGGCUAUAUAUCUAUUUAAAUAAAAUACAUUUUCAACUCCAAAUAAUUAUCCAAAAAUUAUGGGAUAGCUUAUAUAUGCAAUAUGCCCCGUUUAUAAAUAAACCCUAUUGGUUUGAAGAUCCAAAGCUUAAAUGGGUGUAAACAAAGUCUUUUAAAGCCUUUUGAGAUUCAAAUUUGAAUUCAAGUAUGCAAUUGUGGCAUGAUGCUCAUGGAUGCAAUGCACAUGUAAAAGUUUGAAAUUUUGGGAUGUUACAGAAGACUUCACGCUGAAGUUUCUGUGAAGCCUGAAAUGCUUCAUUCUUCACUCCGAUGGAGAACACACACAGAAAAUGAUUUUCACCUAAGCUGAACAUGAAGAAUAAGGUUUCACCUAAACCAGCUCCACACUUCAAACCCCCCUUAAUAGUACGGCGUUCCUAUACUCAAGUGAAGAAAAAGUUACGGAAAGAUCUUCAGGCUUCAGAACGUCGGGGUAGUGCUUGGAGAGGAAGUCUUGAAGUAAGCUACUGGUUUUCUCUUCGCGUGACACCAGCUUCUUCAGGAGUACUUGCUGAUUCUUCACAACGAGAUUCUUCAGGAACCAU
Molecule: long non-coding RNA, 893 nt
Filed under: Brachypodium distachyon (stiff brome)
Lineage: Eukaryota; Viridiplantae; Streptophyta; Magnoliopsida; Poales; Poaceae
Description: long non-coding RNA (BDIS_LNC003557)
Source: RNAcentral